This 253-nucleotide ribosomal RNA is filed under the name uncultured bacterium. RNAcentral's name for it is "partial 16S ribosomal RNA". It matches the Rfam family "Bacterial small subunit ribosomal RNA", at positions 524 to 776 of the family's 1533-position model. The record is from RNAcentral.
UACAGAGGUCUCAAGCGUUGUUCGGAUUCAUUGGGCGUAAAGGGUGCGUAGGUGGCCUCAUAAGUCCGCUGUGAAAGUCCAAGGCUCAACCUUGGAAAGCCGGUGGAUACUGUGAGGCUAGAGUACGGAAGAGGCGAGUGGAAUUCCUGGUGUAGCGGUGGAAUGCGCAGAUAUCAGGAGGAACACCAAUAGCGAAGGCAGCUCGCUGGGACGUUACUGACACUGAGGCGCGAAAGCGUGGGGAGCGAACAGG